CUCUCUCUCUGCCCGUCCCCUGCUCACACUCUCAAAAAUAAACAUUUAAAAAAAAAUAGAGAAAUGAAUGAUUAAGCUAAAAAAAUACUCAGUUUAAAAAAAAAUACUAGAUGGGAAUAGGGAAAUAGAGGAGACUAAAAAAUAGGUCCAAGACCUGUUUUAACACCCUGCCCCACUGACCUGUAAGCAUAGCCCAGGAAUUCUCUGGUUUUAACCAAUUAGGUGAUCUGUUCCUCGCUUGGGAAACAAAGAUAAUGUCAGAGCAAAAGAGUUCAACACCUAAGAAAAGUGGUAAUAAGGAUAAAAUUUUCUCCAACCCAGUAACAAUUUUAUAGGAAAUGUGAUGGGGAUAUUCAAACGCAUUUUUAUUUCUCAUAGCCAAUACAGGCCGCAUGGAAGACACAAGAUCUGAAAGGAUAGAUGGGUGUUAACUGGGUCCUGAUUCAGAGCCGCUCCUACCCUGUGAGUCACACCUUUUGCCAUCCAUGAGAUGUGGUCAUCACACAGAGUCAGGUCUGGCUUCUUCAGCCCUUCUCUUCAGGAUUAUCUGCCUCCCUUCCUGCUAUGUAAUGCCCUUCGCUGUCAAACCCAAGAAGAUCAAUGGGGAUGGUGUGUUUCCUGGCAUAGUUCUGCUGGGCACCAGUCAGGAAGGCUUGUGUGAAGAAGAAGCCAGAAAGCCAGAAGACUGGAGGAGGGCCAACCUCAUACCAUUGCUACAGUGUCAAAGCACAAGUGUUCUCAGGCUAGAGCCUUUCAACUUCAAAUACAACACUGCUUAAUAAAAUUUACUCCCCAAUGCUCCCCCUUAUUAUCUUUUAGGUAGAUUAAUAAAUGAGCUAACACUUUGAGGAAUAAAAAGCUAUACUGUCAA
Felis catus (domestic cat) is the source of this 871-nucleotide long non-coding RNA. RefSeq lists it as uncharacterized. The transcript is spliced from 2 exons. Lineage: Eukaryota; Metazoa; Chordata; Mammalia; Carnivora; Felidae. The record is from RefSeq and is a predicted model, not a curated record.